UAACGCGUGGGUAACCUGCCUUGUACUGGGGGAUAGCAGCUGGAAACGGCUGGUAAUACCGCAUAAGCGCACAAUGUUGCAUGACAUGGUGUGAAAAACUCCGGUGGUAUAAGAUGGACCCGCGUCUGAUUAGCUAGUUGGUGAGAUAACAGCCCACCAAGGCGACGAUCAGUAGCCGGCCUGAGAGGGUGACCGGCCACAUUGGGACUGAGACACGGCCCAG
This 223-nucleotide ribosomal RNA is filed under the name uncultured bacterium. RNAcentral describes it as "partial 16S ribosomal RNA". It matches the Rfam family "Bacterial small subunit ribosomal RNA", at positions 111 to 334 of the family's 1533-position model. The record is from RNAcentral.